AAGUCAGUUUGCUUUCGGCCCUUCAAGUUCCUCCCUAUCUCUGCUUUGGCUCUUUGGACUCCGUUGUUGCAGAUGCUUCAUCUUAAAUAGAAGCCGAUGAUGUGCUGAAGUCCUUAAGGAUUUUGUGAGCAAAUCGGCGAGCUGUUCCUUUCGAGGUGACAUGCUUUGUUUCAACGAAGCCCUUUUGAACCUAGUUGCGUACUAUGUGGCAGUCGAUGUCAAGAUGUUUCGUUCGUUUGUGAAAAACCGAAUUUGCUACGAUAUGCUCGGCUGCUUUGUUGUCGCAGUUCAAAGUUACGGUGCAGGCCCAAGGAAGAUGCAGAAGCCUGUGAGUGAUUUGCGGGUUAUCGGGCACGAUACCCAGUCUGAGUCAGAAAAGGCUUGAAUUUUGAAGUCAUUCUUUCUUGGGAAGAAGAUGCCUUGCUCCGGAUAUUGCUUUAGGUACCUAACAACGUGUAGUGCGGCGUCGAGGUGCGGUCGUCUGGGUUUUUGCAUGAACUGACUGAGGUAUUGAGUGGAGUACGUUAUGUCGGACCCGUUGAAAUUGCGAUAAAGUAAACGGCCGAUUAGGCGUCUAUAUCUCUCCGGAUCUGAUUCCUUCUUUUGACCUAGCUAUAUCGACUCCGAGGAAGUAUCUUGCUUGGCCGAGGUCCUUAACUGUGAAGGCUUCAUUUAUGGUGCUUUUGACUCCGCAAAUCUCUUCUUCAUUAGGACCCGUGAUAAGUGAGGUGGACAUGAGGAAAUGAAGCUCAGACAUGGGUUGUUUAGUGGUAUGGGCGACAAAGUCUUCCAUCUAGGCGGACCUGUUUCUCACCUUGAUGCUCUUCCUCACUUCAGACUCCUGGGGAGUGUUAGUUGGUAAUAGAGUUUCUUCUCUUCUUUGUGGUUGUUUUUCAGGUGUGUUUACUGUGUCGUCACUUGGUAUUGGCAGUGGUGUGUCAUGGUAAUCUGGUUUAGGGUGUUCUGUUUCAUAUGGGAAAAUGUGUUCAUGAAAUAUGACAUCCCUUGACAAAAAUAUUUUUCUGUUUGUCAUAUCAUAUAAUUUGUAAGCCUUUGCAUCGGGUGCAUACCAUAAGAAAACACACUUCAAAGCCCUAGGUUCAAACUUAUCCUUUUGAGGGAUGACAUUUGUGGCAAAACAUAGACAACCAAAGGUUUUUAGCUUUGAGUAAUUUGACUGUUUUUUGUAUAGAAUUUCAUAAGGAGUUUUUCAUUUUAAAACAGAGGUUGGUAAAACGUUUAUUAUGUUUGUGGCUGUGAGUAUGGUUUCAUCUCAAAAACUUUUGGGUAGUUUUGAUUCAAACAUCAAUGCCCUAGCAAUUUGUAAUAGGUGCUUAUGUUUUCUCUCCACCAUCCCAUUCUGCUGUGGUGUAUAUGUACAGGUUUUUUGAUGCAUGAUGCCCUUUUCUUGGAAAAUUUUUUUUGCAUGAAAUGUUUAUGAACUCAGUGCCAUUGUCUGUUCUAACUACUUUGAUUGUUUUCUAAAAUUGAUUUUGUAUUAGAUUGUAAAAAUAUUUCAAGAUAUUUGGUAUACUCGUUUUUUCUUUUAAUAAGUAAGUUCAAGUGGCUUUUUAGAAAUUAUCAACUAUGGUUAAAAAAUAAAGCGCACCAGAGGUACAAUUAACCAGGUAUGGUCCCUAAAGGUCAACAUGUAUUAAACUGAAAAUGUCACUGGUAUUGAUAAAACUUUUAGAAAAAGAUAAGCGCUGUUGUUUUGUUAAGGGACAUAUUUCAUAAUCAUGUAAAGCUGCACUGUCUGGUAACUUUAGACUGGGAAUGUGGAUUAAUUUUUUUUGUAGAUGUGUGGCCGAGUCUUUUGUGCCAUAGUUGUAGUUGUUUUCUUGGGUGUGGUUGAUGUAUGCUUUGUUAGGGUCAAUGUCUUCACUCAGGGUGUAUAGGCCUUUCAUUAUUGUUCCCAUCCUCAAUAUUUCCUUAGUUGUCAAAUCCUACACAAAACAAUGGUUGGGAUAAAAGAAAAUGUAAGUAUUUAUAGCUUGGGUUAGUUUUCUAACAGAAAUAAGGUUGCAAGUGAAUUUUGGUAUAUAAAGAACAUCCUGUAGAAUUAAGUUGUCACACAGUUUUAUGGUCCCUUUGUGGGUUGAAUGACUCGUGAUUCCAUCUGAUAACGAGACAGACACUGCAGGUUCUAGUUUUACGGGUUUUGAAAGCAUUUUAAAAUCAUGGCAUAUGUGUAAUGCGGCACCUGUGUCUAUUAUCCGAGUUCCUAUAUCAUUAAAGGUAUGCAAAAAACUGCAUUUAAGUUGCUUACCAGGGGGGCCAGAGUAGCCCACGCACCUUGCUGAUUCUGCCAUGUUUUCUCAUUGGUUCUUCAAAUACUUGGUGAUCUCUUGUUGUAUGAGUGUGGACAUUUCUGUGCCCCAGUUUGUGUUGGAUACUUCUAUUUUGGUGUUAUCAGUCAUUGCAUUAGCCUUUUCUUUGUUCAUUUUCCCUUCGAGUUCUGUAAACCAUUCUAGGUAGUCAUGGAGCUUGAAGCAAGUGUCCUUUGUGUUUUUGCAGUAAGUGCAUGCCCUGCUGUCCUUUUCCUUUUUCCGGUUUGGGAAUUUUGGACUGUCUUUCAAGUUGGUGUAAAAUGCAGUAGGUGACCCCUCAAAUGAGUUGCUAUUGUGUACUUCCCUCUGUUUUUUAACACUAAUCAUCAUGGAAUAAACUCUAUUUACUCUCGAUAAGGGUUUCAUGAUCAAUAUUUGGUUUCUAACAUGGUCAUAUGAGUCAUUAAGACCCAUUAAAUAUUGGAUUAGGUUGUCGGUAUUAUUUAUUUCACUGUGUUGUGUUGCAACAUGGCAUCUGCAAGCAGGUGAGGGCCUUAGGUGUGUUAACCCAUCCCACAGCCUUUUGAUUUUUGUGUAAUAGGCUAUGACAGAGAGGUUAGAUUGCGUGAUGGAACUUAUUUCGCAUUUUAGCUGAUAUAACAGAGGUCCGUUGCUUUCACCA
Carica papaya (papaya) is the source of this 2952-nucleotide long non-coding RNA. RefSeq lists it as uncharacterized. The record is from RefSeq and is a predicted model, not a curated record. NCBI's taxonomy places the organism in Eukaryota, Viridiplantae, Streptophyta, Magnoliopsida, Brassicales, Caricaceae.